AUUUGUGUCUCUGCAGACUGGGCUUCUCCUUGUUUAUCAGAGGCUGAUCAGAGAGGAGGGAGUGGCGACGUGUGCUUCCCGUGCUGCCCUGCCAGCCAGCCCCAGCCCUGAACUGGAGGGGCCAUUGCCGGGCGUGAGAAGGCAGCUCAGGCUCCACACCUCUGAAAACUGUGGCAUCU
RNAcentral lists this small RNA (179 nucleotides) under Anser brachyrhynchus (Pink-footed goose). Its description in RNAcentral is "TUC338 (ENSABRG00000009973.1)". Lineage: Eukaryota; Metazoa; Chordata; Aves; Anseriformes; Anatidae. The record is from RNAcentral.